Molecule: long non-coding RNA, 1349 nt
Filed under: Cricetulus griseus (Chinese hamster)
Lineage: Eukaryota; Metazoa; Chordata; Mammalia; Rodentia; Cricetidae
Description: lncRNA (ENSCGRG00015032338.1)
Source: RNAcentral
AGAGAAACCUUGUCUCAAAAAACAAAAACAAAAAACCAACAAAAUCUCUUUGUAGGAUUUCAGGAGUACUUAUAACAAUGCAAAGGUGGUAUGUGUAAUUGUGUCUUCUGUUGUUGUUGCUUUUGGAGCCAGGGUUUCACCAUGUAAUUCUGGCUGAACAGACUAGAUGAGGCCACUAGGGUGGCCUCAAACUCAUAAAGAUCCACCUGCUUCUUUCUCCUGAAUGUGAUUGUACUAACAUAAAUUAUAGAUAAACAGACUGGUAGAUAGACACACAUUUAUAUUCAGUGUGUAGGAAGACACAGUGUACUUGUCUCUGAGCAAUGUGUUUUUUUGUCUAUGAGUUUUUUUUACAGUUAAAGAGAUACAUUAUAUGCUUGCCUUUUUAGGCUUUCCUAGACAUCCUGAGGUGUUCUGUUGUAGCAACUAAAUCUGCUAAUUUGUGCCACUCCACACUUCUCUCCAUUUUUCCCUGUCUUAUCUACUUGCAUACCUUUGCUAUUCACAGCCUCUUAGCUACUUUUCUGCUGUUAUAACAAAACACCAUGAUCAAAGCAACUCCUAGGAGCAUUUACUGGGGGAGAGUGUCAGAAUAAUUAUCUCUGCAUGUUAUGAGCAUUUAGAAUUAUCUGAAUAGCAAGUAGGUCUGCAAGCUUAUUUUCAUGACUGGAGAAUAUUUUUUAAAAAUGUGCCAUGUCUGGGCUGGAGAGAUGGCUCAGCAGUUAAGAGCACUGACUGCCCUCCCAGAGGACAGGGGUUCAAUUGCCAGCACCCAGCUCACACCUGUGUGUAAUUCCAGUUCCAGGGAAUCUUACACCUUUAGACCAAUUCACAUAAAAUAAAGCUAAAUAAAUAAAAUAGAAAGACUGGGGACACUGUGGGGACAUAUUACAGUGACGGAUCAUGAAGCCUCAGGCCAUGCUCAGCUUGUAUCAAGUCUUAGCUGAAAAUAACAGAAAGGAUUUUGAUAAUGCAUUGACAUAAACUUUAUCCCCAAAGAGUCCUGUCUUGCUUGUUGUCUAACAAUGGCCAAAGGAUGGCAUUCCCCAAUGGACAGCCAUCGUUCAAGUGAGGCUUCCUAGACUUCUAUUGGCUCUUUCAACUUUGGGGUGUUGUCUUUGAACUUGGCCAUCAUCAGCAAUGUUCACACCCAGGGGUUCCCUUCAGGGCUCCAUAGCCUUUCCAGUACUCUCUUCCCUGAAUUCCUUAAGAACAGAACUCUGGAGCUGGAGAGAUGGCACUUGCAGCUCGUGCAGAGGACCUGGGUUUGGUUCCCAUCACCUACAUGCUGGCUGUUCACAAGAUCUGUAAUUCGCUGGGUGUUGGUGGCGCAUGCCUUUAAUCCCAGC